This 885-nucleotide ribosomal RNA is filed under the name Textulariidae sp. RNAcentral describes it as "SSU rRNA". It matches the Rfam family "Eukaryotic small subunit ribosomal RNA", at positions 1160 to 1661 of the family's 1831-position model. Lineage: Eukaryota; Foraminifera; Textulariida; Textulariidae. The record is from RNAcentral.
AAGGGCACCACAAGAACGCGUGGAGCAUGUGGCUUAAUUUGACUCAACGCGGGGAAUCUUACCGGGUCCGGACACACUGAGGAUUGACAGGCAAUAUUAAAUAAAGUAAUUCUUCGGACUGUCUGAUAUUUAUGUUAAAUAUGCUAGUCCUUUCAUGAUUAUGUGAUAGGUGGUGCAUGGCCGUUCUUAGUUCGUGGAGUGAUCUGUCUGCUUAAUUGCGUUUCACUAAGGGCUUAUCUAAUUAUAACGUGUGUUGCUAGAGUUUUAUACCUUUGUGACCCCUUUAAUUAGUGUGUGUCUAUAAUGGUAGCUUUGGCUCACACAAUUAAGUCCUGAAAGCAACGAACGUGACCGCAACCUCUUGUUGCCUUUCAUUUAUUUAUGCGUCUUGCGCGUAUUUUUGACAAAAAAGGCUUUUUAAACUAGAGGGACCGCUGUAAUCUUUUUAAACCAGAGGAAGGUUGCGGCAAUAACAGGUCUGUGAUGCCCUUAGAUGUUCCGGGCUGCACACGUGCUACAAUGAUUAUUGCAGUGAGCAUCUCAUUUAAUAACACAUCGCUUGCGCGAGUCCAAUUUUUGAACAUCACUCUUUUGUGUUGCUUCCAUUAAUUGUGUACUUUGCGCGCGAUAAAGCCUGCUUCGAAAGUAAGUGGGUAAUCAAUUAGAAGUAAUGAUUUCCUAUAUAUAGCACACAUAUAUGCGGCAUUUUUACCCGAAUUAAGCUUGUCUUAGUUUCUGUGUGUAUUAAUGUACUUUUUCCGCAUGUGCAAUUGUCAAUUCAUGGUGGGGACAGACCAUUGUUAAUUGUUGGUCUCGGUCUUAACUAGGAAUGCCUUGUACGGGUCUUUGGUUCAACAAACCACCCGGAAUACGUCCCUGCCCUUU